UACGUAGGUGACCAGCGUUGUCCGGAUUUACUGGGCGUAAAGAGCGCGCAGGCGGUCGUUCAAGUCGAGUGUGAAAGCCCCCGGCUCAACUGGGGAGGGUCAUUCGAUACUGAUCGACUGGAAGGCAGGAGAGGGAAGCGGAAUUCCCGGUGUAGUGGUGAAAUGCGUAGAUAUCGGGAGGAACACCAGUGGCGAAGGCGGUUACCUGGAGCUUUGCUGACGCUGAUGCGCGAAAGCGUGGGGAGCGAUCCGG
This 253-nucleotide ribosomal RNA is filed under the name uncultured bacterium. RNAcentral's name for it is "partial 16S ribosomal RNA". It matches the Rfam family "Bacterial small subunit ribosomal RNA", at positions 524 to 776 of the family's 1533-position model. The record is from RNAcentral.